RNAcentral lists this ribosomal RNA (425 nucleotides) under uncultured bacterium. RNAcentral's name for it is "partial 16S ribosomal RNA". It matches the Rfam family "Bacterial small subunit ribosomal RNA", at positions 354 to 796 of the family's 1533-position model. The record is from RNAcentral.
GUGGGGAAUAUUGGACAAUGGGCGAAAGCCUGAUCCAGCCAUGCCGCGUGAACGAUGAAGGCCUUCGGGUUGUAAAGUUCUUUAGCCGAUGAUUAUAAUGACUGUAGUCGGAAAAUAAGCCCCGGCUAACUUCGUGCCAGCAGCCGCGGUAAUACGAAGGGGGCGAGCGUUAUUCGGAAUCACUGGGCGUAAAGCGUGCGUAGGCGGUUUUGUAAGUUAGGAGUGAAAGCCCAGGGCUCAACCUUGGAAUUGCUCUUAAAACUGCAAGGCUCGAAUCUCGGAGAGGAUAGCGGAAUUUCCAGUGUAGCAGUGAAAUGCGUAGAUAUUGGAAGGAACACCAGUGGCGUAAGCGGCUAUCUGGACGAGUAUUGACGCUGAGGCACGAAAGCGUGGGGAUCAAACAGGAUUAGAAACCCCAGUAGUCC